Molecule: non-coding RNA, 110 nt
Organism: Corynebacterium freneyi DNF00450
Lineage: Bacteria; Bacillati; Actinomycetota; Actinomycetes; Mycobacteriales; Corynebacteriaceae
Source: Rfam
CUAAUACCAAGGCUUACAUAAAGGAUGAGUGGGCAUAAAGUCACGAAGUCCAAAAGGCAAACGUAACUUAUGUAAGUAAAUUAGGCAGGUAGACGAGGAAAGACUGACGA